This 73-nucleotide transfer RNA is filed under the name Deltaproteobacteria bacterium. Its description in RNAcentral is "tRNA-Thr". It matches the Rfam family "tRNA". Rfam says of the family: Transfer RNA (tRNA) molecules are approximately 80 nucleotides in length. Their secondary structure includes four short double-helical elements and three loops (D, anti-codon, and T loops). RNAcentral also lists the same sequence under 1 other name. Lineage: Bacteria; Pseudomonadati; Myxococcota; Myxococcia. The record is from RNAcentral.
GCCACCCUAGCUCAGUUGGUAGAGCAGCUGAUUCGUAAUCAGCAGGUCGUCGGUUCGAAUCCGAUGGGUGGCU